GAGAUGCUAGGUGUUGGUGCUCAAGUCAGCAGUCUUAGCUGAACCCAGACUUUGAGCCAAGCCCAUCAGAACAUGAGCCAUGCUGUUCAUGCUAAGGAGGACUCAGCUGAGAGGGAUGGACUUUCUUCCAUGGGGCUUCCAUCUUCCAGUAUGAGGACAAAGGCUUCUUUACAUCACAGUCUCAACAUUAUAAGGAGCAGCAAGAAAGAGAAGUUCUAAUAUAUCACAGAUGAAGAAAUGGCAAUAACAACUCUUUAUUUUUAGCUUGUGAUGAUGUGAGUGCUGAGCCAUCAUUCUCAUUCAAGUCUCUUGUGAUUGAAAAAGACUAAAAGGCACCUAUAGGCACCAUGAACCAUCUGAAAGCCAUACACGUGGAUGGGAAUUCGAUGUGUACUCUGUUAUGUUGGAGGACAGAAUAGAUCUGUUGGGUGAGAGUUAUUAGGAGUUUCAGUUUUACUAAAUGUAAGGACAAACUUGAUAACAAUCAGGGCAUCAAACAAUGGAUGUGCUGCUCUAGCAUCUUAAGUUGGUUUCCAAGAAGCAGCUCCUGAUUUGAUGAAGUACAUGUAAGUGGAGAAUGGAGAAACAGAAAGUAAAAUGAAGACAGAAAGAGACCAAGGAAAUCCGUCAUAUCAAGUAUGCAAUAUCAACCUUUGGAGGGUGACUUGGGCUCCAUCCCAGAAGGGAGCCUUGGAAACAGUGAAAACAGUGAUAGUCACUCUCAGAGUUUCUGAAUCAGAGCAAGAGGACUGGGGUAUUUAUACUCCUGCCCUCAUCACUGGUUAAGUCAUGAGGAGGAGUUGGUAUACAUUCACAGAUACUUCUGGUUCUAUGCGUUGUUAUGUAUGCAGGUAAUGAGGGUCCUGGUAGUCUGAGGGCAGCCCUCUAAUUGCUACUGUUGGGAGCAGAGGCACACCAGAAGCUGGUAGACAGAAAAAAAGUAGUGAAAGUGGUUUGCACGAAUAUCCUUGCAGCUCUGAAAUCACCAGCUCUGCUUUGUCUGUUGUUAUAUUUCAUUUCUGGAGAGAUCCAGGCAGAAGCUGCCAACUUCAACACCUAUUUUGACACUGAGAGUCAUUUAAUAAAGGCUUUCUUUAUAAUAGUACAUUACUAUUGCUUGGUUUUGUUUGGCAACCUUUGAAAACAAAGUGCUUAAAGAAAUCCUUCCCCCAAAUAUGUAAGCCUGGUCUUCAGUUGACUGAUGUCUGCCUGGG
This 1214-nucleotide long non-coding RNA is filed under the name Homo sapiens (human). Its description in RNAcentral is "HSALNT0318257". Lineage: Eukaryota; Metazoa; Chordata; Mammalia; Primates; Hominidae. The record is from RNAcentral.